AGAUGUAUGCAUGGUCUGACUGUGACAUCUGUCACCCAUUUAUUGCCAGGUUGGAUUUGGCUGAUCUGGCUGGCUUGGUGGGUGUCCUCAUCCUUCCUGACCAUUCAAGAUGCAUCCCUCACAGCUGCACAUCCUGUCAAAGAGGAAGAUCUUCCCCAGUAGGGAAGGACCAUUUUCUCUAUCCAGUGCAUACUUUAAAAGUAGCUAUACUCUCUUGCUACAAACUUCAAACAAGUUCUUUUAAAAAGUCAAACCCUCACAGGGGUCCAGGAUUUAACUCAGCAGCACACGCCCUCGCCUGGCAAACACGAGGUUCUGAGUUCGA
Cavia aperea (Brazilian guinea pig) is the source of this 325-nucleotide unclassified non-coding RNA. Its record names the gene 7SK. It matches the Rfam family "7SK RNA". From Rfam's summary of the family: 7SK was discovered as an abundant small nuclear RNA in the mid-70s but a possible function has only recently been suggested. Two independent studies have found that 7SK RNA binds the CDK9/cyclin T complex (known as elongation factor P-TEFb). P-TEFb activates transcription by phosphorylating the C-terminal domain of RNA polymerase II. NCBI's taxonomy places the organism in Eukaryota, Metazoa, Chordata, Mammalia, Rodentia, Caviidae. The record is from Ensembl.